This 2925-nucleotide ribosomal RNA is filed under the name Escherichia coli. Its description in RNAcentral is "23S ribosomal RNA". It matches the Rfam family "Bacterial large subunit ribosomal RNA". The record is from RNAcentral. Lineage: Bacteria; Pseudomonadati; Pseudomonadota; Gammaproteobacteria; Enterobacterales; Enterobacteriaceae.
GGGUUGUGAGGUUAAGCGACUAAGCGUACACGGUGGAUGCCCUGGCAGUCAGAGGCGAUGAAGGACGUGCUAAUCUGCGAUAAGCGUCGGUAAGGUGAUAUGAACCGUUAUAACCGGCGAUUUCCGAAUGGGGAAACCCAGUGUGAUUCGUCACACUAUCAUUAACUGAAUCCAUAGGUUAAUGAGGCGAACCGGGGGAACUGAAACAUCUAAGUACCCCGAGGAAAAGAAAUCAACCGAGAUUCCCCCAGUAGCGGCGAGCGAACGGGGAGGAGCCCAGAGCCUGAAUCAGUGUGUGUGUUAGUGGAAGCGUCUGGAAAGGCGCGCGAUACAGGGUGACAGCCCCGUACACAAAAAUGCACAUAUUGUGAGCUCGAUGAGUAGGGCGGGACACGUGGUAUCCUGUCUGAAUAUGGGGGGACCAUCCUCCAAGGCUAAAUACUCCUGACUGACCGAUAGUGAACCAGUACCGUGAGGGAAAGGCGAAAAGAACCCCGGCGAGGGGAGUGAAAAAGAACCUGAAACCGUGUACGUACAAGCAGUGGGAGCACGCUUCGGCGUGUGACUGCGUACCUUUUGUAUAAUGGGUCAGCGACUUAUAUUCUGUAGCAAGGUUAACCGAAUAGGGGAGCCGAAGGGAAACCGAGUCUUAACUGGGCGUUAAGUUGCAGGGUAUAGACCCGAAACCCGGUGAUCUAGCCAUGGGCAGGUUGAAGGUUGGGUAACACUAACUGGAGGACCGAACCGACUAAUGUUGAAAAAUUAGCGGAUGACUUGUGGCUGGGGGUGAAAGGCCAAUCAAACCGGGAGAUAGCUGGUUCUCCCCGAAAGCUAUUUAGGUAGCGCCUCGUGAAUUCAUCUCCGGGGGUAGAGCACUGUUUCGGCAAGGGGGUCAUCCCGACUUACCAACCCGAUGCAAACUGCGAAUACCGGAGAAUGUUAUCACGGGAGACACACGGCGGGUGCUAACGUCCGUCGUGAAGAGGGAAACAACCCAGACCGCCAGCUAAGGUCCCAAAGUCAUGGUUAAGUGGGAAACGAUGUGGGAAGGCCCAGACAGCCAGGAUGUUGGCUUAGAAGCAGCCAUCAUUUAAAGAAAGCGUAAUAGCUCACUGGUCGAGUCGGCCUGCGCGGAAGAUGUAACGGGGCUAAACCAUGCACCGAAGCUGCGGCAGCGACGCUUAUGCGUUGUUGGGUAGGGGAGCGUUCUGUAAGCCUGUGAAGGUGUGCUGUGAGGCAUGCUGGAGGUAUCAGAAGUGCGAAUGCUGACAUAAGUAACGAUAAAGCGGGUGAAAAGCCCGCUCGCCGGAAGACCAAGGGUUCCUGUCCAACGUUAAUCGGGGCAGGGUGAGUCGACCCCUAAGGCGAGGCCGAAAGGCGUAGUCGAUGGGAAACAGGUUAAUAUUCCUGUACUUGGUGUUACUGCGAAGGGGGGACGGAGAAGGCUAUGUUGGCCGGGCGACGGUUGUCCCGGUUUAAGCGUGUAGGCUGGUUUUCCAGGCAAAUCCGGAAAAUCAAGGCUGAGGCGUGAUGACGAGGCACUACGGUGCUGAAGCAACAAAUGCCCUGCUUCCAGGAAAAGCCUCUAAGCAUCAGGUAACAUCAAAUCGUACCCCAAACCGACACAGGUGGUCAGGUAGAGAAUACCAAGGCGCUUGAGAGAACUCGGGUGAAGGAACUAGGCAAAAUGGUGCCGUAACUUCGGGAGAAGGCACGCUGAUAUGUAGGUGAAGUCCCUCGCGGAUGGAGCUGAAAUCAGUCGAAGAUACCAGCUGGCUGCAACUGUUUAUUAAAAACACAGCACUGUGCAAACACGAAAGUGGACGUAUACGGUGUGACGCCUGCCCGGUGCCGGAAGGUUAAUUGAUGGGGUCAGCGCAAGCGAAGCUCUUGAUCGAAGCCCCGGUAAACGGCGGCCGUAACUAUAACGGUCCUAAGGUAGCGAAAUUCCUUGUCGGGUAAGUUCCGACCUGCACGAAUGGCGUAAUGAUGGCCAGGCUGUCUCCACCCGAGACUCAGUGAAAUUGAACUCGCUGUGAAGAUGCAGUGUACCCGCGGCAAGACGGAAAGACCCCGUGAACCUUUACUAUAGCUUGACACUGAACAUUGAGCCUUGAUGUGUAGGAUAGGUGGGAGGCUUUGAAGUGUGGACGCCAGUCUGCAUGGAGCCGACCUUGAAAUACCACCCUUUAAUGUUUGAUGUUCUAACGUUGACCCGUGAUCCGGGUUGCGGACAGUGUCUGGUGGGUAGUUUGACUGGGGCGGUCUCCUCCUAAAGAGUAACGGAGGAGCACGAAGGUUGGCUAAUCCUGGUCGGACAUCAGGAGGUUAGUGCAAUGGCAUAAGCCAGCUUGACUGCGAGCGUGACGGCGCGAGCAGGUGCGAAAGCAGGUCAUAGUGAUCCGGUGGUUCUGAAUGGAAGGGCCAUCGCUCAACGGAUAAAAGGUACUCCGGGGAUAACAGGCUGAUACCGCCCAAGAGUUCAUAUCGACGGCGGUGUUUGGCACCUCGAUGUCGGCUCAUCACAUCCUGGGGCUGAAGUAGGUCCCAAGGGUAUGGCUGUUCGCCAUUUAAAGUGGUACGCGAGCUGGGUUUAGAACGUCGUGAGACAGUUCGGUCCCUAUCUGCCGUGGGCGCUGGAGAACUGAGGGGGGCUGCUCCUAGUACGAGAGGACCGGAGUGGACGCAUCACUGGUGUUCGGGUUGUCAUGCCAAUGGCACUGCCCGGUAGCUAAAUGCGGAAGAGAUAAGUGCUGAAAGCAUCUAAGCACGAAACUUGCCCCGAGAUGAGUUCUCCCUGACCCUUUAAGGGUCCUGAAGGAACGUUGAAGACGACGACGUUGAUAGGCCGGGUGUGUAAGCGCAGCGAUGCGUUGAGCUAACCGGUACUAAUGAACCGUGAGGCUUAACCUUACAACGCCGAAG